CACGUAGGGGGCGAGCGUUGUCCGGAAUUACUGGGUGUAAAGGGUGCGUAGGCGGCCUUGCAAGUCAGAUGUGAAAGAUCACGGCUUAACUGUGGUAAGCAUUUGAAACUGUAAGGCUUGAGUGCAGGAGAGGAGAGUGGAAUUCCUAGUGUAGCGGUGAAAUGCGUAGAUAUUAGGAAGAAUAUCAGUGGCGAAGGCGGCUCUCUGGAUUGCAACUGACGCUGAGGCACGAAAGCGUGGGGAGCAAACAGG
RNAcentral lists this ribosomal RNA (252 nucleotides) under uncultured bacterium. Its description in RNAcentral is "partial 16S ribosomal RNA". It matches the Rfam family "Bacterial small subunit ribosomal RNA", at positions 524 to 776 of the family's 1533-position model. The record is from RNAcentral.